Molecule: ribosomal RNA, 722 nt
Filed under: Acinetobacter baumannii OIFC189
Lineage: Bacteria; Pseudomonadati; Pseudomonadota; Gammaproteobacteria; Moraxellales; Moraxellaceae
Description: bacterial SSU rRNA
Rfam family: Bacterial small subunit ribosomal RNA
Source: RNAcentral
AUGCAAGUCGAGCGGGGGAAGGUAGCUUGCUACUGGACCUAGCGGCGGACGGGUGAGUAAUGCUUAGGAAUCUGCCUAUUAGUGGGGGACAACAUCUCGAAAGGGAUGCUAAUACCGCAUACGUCCUACGGGAGAAAGCAGGGGAUCUUCGGACCUUGCGCUAAUAGAUGAGCCUAAGUCGGAUUAGCUAGUUGGUGGGGUAAAGGCCUACCAAGGCGACGAUCUGUAGCGGGUCUGAGAGGAUGAUCCGCCACACUGGGACUGAGACACGGCCCAGACUCCUACGGGAGGCAGCAGUGGGGAAUAUUGGACAAUGGGGGGAACCCUGAUCCAGCCAUGCCGCGUGUGUGAAGAAGGCCUUAUGGUUGUAAAGCACUUUAAGCGAGGAGGAGGCUACUUUAGUUAAUACCUAGAGAUAGUGGACGUUACUCGCAGAAUAAGCACCGGCUAACUCUGUGCCAGCAGCCGCGGUAAUACAGAGGGUGCGAGCGUUAAUCGGAUUUACUGGGCGUAAAGCGUGCGUAGGCGGCUUAUUAAGUCGGAUGUGAAAUCCCCGAGCUUAACUUGGGAAUUGCAUUCGAUACUGGUGAGCUAGAGUAUGGGAGAGGAUGGUAGAAUUCCAGGUGUAGCGGUGAAAUGCGUAGAGAUCUGGAGGAAUACCGAUGGCGAACGCAGCCAUCUGGCCUAAUACUGACGCUGAGGUACGAAAGCAUGGGGAGCAA